RNAcentral lists this ribosomal RNA (253 nucleotides) under uncultured bacterium. Its description in RNAcentral is "partial 16S ribosomal RNA". It matches the Rfam family "Bacterial small subunit ribosomal RNA", at positions 524 to 776 of the family's 1533-position model. The record is from RNAcentral.
UACGUAGGGUGCGAGCGUUAAUCGGAAUUACUGGGCGUAAAGCGUGCGCAGGCGGUUUUGUAAGCCAGGUGUGAAAUCCCCGGGCUCAACCUGGGAAUGGCAUUUGGGACUGCAAGGCUGGAGUGCGGCAGAGGAGACUGGAAUUCCUGGUGUAGCAGUGAAAUGCGUAGAUAUCGGGAGGAACACCAGUGGCGAAGGCGAUCACCUGGGGUUGUUCUGACGCUGAGGAGCGAAAGCUAGGGGAGCAAACGGG